This 323-nucleotide long non-coding RNA is filed under the name Homo sapiens (human). RNAcentral describes it as "HSALNT0246198". The record is from RNAcentral. Lineage: Eukaryota; Metazoa; Chordata; Mammalia; Primates; Hominidae.
UAACACCGUGGGGCCCAGUCUCUCCUGGCUCGGGAAAAUACGUAUACGAGAAAAAUCUUGGAUGCAACAAAAAGAACACCGUGGCCACCCGUGGUGUCCCAGAAGUUGCUCUGAGCUCCUCGCAUCAGGGCAGGUGCUCCACCUCUAACCGCCCUGUGGGGGAACGGGAGGCCCCAAGCCCCUGGGAGUCCUGGUCUCCUCUAGAGUGUGUUGGAAGGACAGCCGCUGGAAAGGCCCCUCAGAGCCCCUAAACCAGCCUCCCCUCCCCCGUGGGCAGAUUGUUCGAGGGUCCUGGAGCCUGAAUGAUGGGCCCUCGGCUUGCC